RNAcentral lists this ribosomal RNA (758 nucleotides) under Gyrodactylus sp. EL-2016. RNAcentral describes it as "SSU rRNA". It matches the Rfam family "Eukaryotic small subunit ribosomal RNA", at positions 1035 to 1764 of the family's 1831-position model. The record is from RNAcentral. Lineage: Eukaryota; Metazoa; Platyhelminthes; Monogenea; Gyrodactylidea; Gyrodactylidae.
AACGGUGCAUCUGAUGAUCCGCGGGGUCUCCAUUUGUGAGCCCGCGGGCAAUCUCCGGGAAACCUGUAAGACUAUGGGUUCCGGGGAAAGUAUGGUUGCAAAGCUGAAACUUAAAGGAAUUGACGGAAGGGCACCACCAGGAGUGGAGCUUGCGGCUUAAUUUGACUCAACACGGGAAAACUCACCCGGACCGGACACUAUGAGGAUAGACAGAUUGAUAGCUCUUUCUUGAUUUGGUGAUUAGUGGUGCAUGGCCGUUCUUAGUUCGUGGUAUGAAUUGUCUGGUUAAUUCCGAUAACGAACGAGAUUCUAACCUGCUAAAUAGUCCAUGUGUAAUCCUGUGUAGUUUGGGCGUAUGCUUACUUCGGUUUGCUAUGCACUGCUAUACGAGCAUAUGGUACUUCUUAGAGGGAUUGGUGGAUAUCCAAGCCACACGAGAGAGAGCAAUAACAGGUCUGUGAUGCCCUUAGAUGUUCGGGGCCGCACGCGUGCUACACUGACAGUGGUAGAGAGUUUGGUAUCCUCAGGCGAAAGCUGGGGGCAAACUUUUCAAUUACUGUCGUGCCUGGGAUCGGGGUUUGUAACUAUCCCCCGUGAACCAGGAAUUCCUAGUAAGCACAAGUCAUCAGCUUGUGCUGAAUACGUCCCUGCCCUUUGUACACACCGCCCGUCGCUACUACCGAUUGAAUGGUUUAGCAAGGUCAAUGGAUCGACUGCAAAUUGGUGAGAACUGAUUGCGGUUGAGAAGCUGACCGAAC